AACGAGCGCUGGCGGCAUGCCUAACACAUGCAAGUCGAACGAGACCUUCGGGUCUAGUGGCGCACGGGUGCGUAACGCGUGGGAACCUGCCUUUAGGUUUGGAUUAACUCCCCGAAUGGGGUGCUAAUACCGGCUAAUGUCUUCGGACCAAAGAUUUAUCGCCCUUGGAUGGGCUCGCGUUGGAUUAGCUAGUUGGUAGGGUAAAAGCCUACCAAGGCGACGAUCCAUAGCUGGUCUGAGAGGAUGAUCAGCCACACUGGGACUGAGACACGGCCCAGACUCCUACGGGAGGCAGCAGUGGGGAAUAUUGGACAAUGGGCGAAAGCCUGAUCCAGCAAUGCCGCGUGAGUGAUGAAGGCCUUAGGGUUGUAAAGCUCUUUUACCCGGGAUGAUAAUGACAGUACCGGGAGAAUAAGCUCCGGCUAACUCCGUG
Molecule: ribosomal RNA, 433 nt
Filed under: uncultured bacterium
Lineage: Bacteria
Description: partial 16S ribosomal RNA
Rfam family: Bacterial small subunit ribosomal RNA
Source: RNAcentral